CGGCUCAGUAACACGUGGAUAACCUGCCCUAAGGAAGGGGAUAACCCCGGGAAACUGGGGAUAAUACCCUAUAGGUUACAGAUGCUGGAAUGCUCUGUAACCGAAAGUUCCGGCGCCUUAGGAUGGAUCUGCGGCCGAUUAGGUUGUUGUCGGGGUAACGGCCCAACAAGCCAGUAAUCGGUACGGGUUGUGGGAGCAAGAGCCCGGAGUUGGAUUCUGAGACACGAAUCCAGGCCCUACGGGGCGCAGCAGGCGCGAAAACUUUACAAUGCGGGCAACCGUGAUAAGGGAACCUCGAGUGCCUGUAUAUGCAGGCUGUCUGGGUGUCUAAAACACACCUAAAGAAAGGGCCGGGCAAGACCGGUGCCAGCCGCCGCGGUAAUACCGGCGGCUCGAGUGGUGGCCACUUUUAUUGGGCUUAAAGCGUUCGUAGCUGGGUUAUUAAGUCCCUUGGGAAAUCCGACGGCUUAACCGUCGGGCGUCUAAGGGAUACUGGCAAUCUUGGAACCGGGAGAGGUGAGGGGUACUUCGGGGGUAGGAGUGAAAUCCUGUAAUCCUCGAGGGACCACCUGUGGCGAAGGCGCCUCACCAGAACGGCUUCGACAGUGA
This 609-nucleotide ribosomal RNA is filed under the name uncultured Methanoculleus sp. Its description in RNAcentral is "bacterial SSU rRNA". It matches the Rfam family "Archaeal small subunit ribosomal RNA", at positions 83 to 700 of the family's 1478-position model. The record is from RNAcentral. Lineage: Archaea; Methanobacteriati; Methanobacteriota; Methanomicrobia; Methanomicrobiales; Methanomicrobiaceae.